CAAAGGCCACAGGGACACGUGCACCCACGCAAGGGACACACAUGCCCGUGCAAGGGACACGGGGACACACGUGUCCAUGCAAAGGCCACAGGGACACACGCACCCACGCAAGGGACACACAUGCCCGUGCAAGGGACACGGGGACACACGUGUCCGUGCAAAGGCCACAGGGACACGUGCACCCACGCAAGGGACACACGUGCCCGUGCAAGGGGCACAGGGACACACAUGUCUGUGCAAAGGCCACAGGGACACGUGCACCAAUGCAAGGGACACACGUGUCUGUGCAAGGGACACGAGGACACACAUGUCCGUGCAAAGGCCACAAGGACAUGUGCACCCACACAAGGGACACAUGUGCCUGUGCAAGGGACAUGGGGACACACGUGUCCAUGCAAAGACCACAGGAACAUGUGCACCCAUGCGAGGGACACACGUGUCCAUGCAAGGGCCAUGGGGACACACGUGUCUGUGCAAGGGCCAUGGGGACACACGCGUGCCCGUGCGAGGGCCAGGGGGACACACACACGCGCGUGCCCGUGCGAGGGCCAGGGGGACACACACACGCGCGUGCCCGUGCGAGGGCCAGGGGGACACCCGCGGCGGCACUCACGGUCGUUGCAGACGGGGCCCCCGUACGCCGUCAUGGUGCAGUCGCACGUGUAGCCGUCCCACUGCUGCAGGCAGACGCCCUGGUUGGCGCACGACUCCUCGGUGCACGUGGUGCUGGGGCCUGCGGGCGCCGGCGCGGAGGGGUGACCCGGGCGCCCCCCCACCCCGCGCCCCCCCAUCCCAUGUCCCCAUGUCCCCACGUGUGGUCACGCGCCCUCGUGAGCCCUCGUGCGCCCGUGUGUGCCUUUGUGCACCCUCGGGUGCCCUCGGACCCUUCCUGUGCACCCUUGUGCACCCCCGCGAACCUGUGCACGCUCCUGUGCACCCUUGUGCACAUCCCCGUGCACCCUCGUGUGCCCCCUGUGCACCCUCGUGUGCAUCCCCGUGCACCCUUGUGCGCAUCCCCGUGCACCCCCAUGUGCCCCCCGUGCCCCCUCGUGCAGCCCGUGCACCUCGCACGCCCCAAGCACCGUGUGCCCCCCGUGCCCCCCACCUGCCCCGCGUGCCCCGUGCGUCGCACGUGCCCUGCUCCCCCUACGCNNNNNNNNNNNNNNNNNNNNNNNNNNNNNNNNNNNNNNNNNNNNNNNNNNNNNNNNNN
Molecule: long non-coding RNA, 1210 nt
Filed under: Apteryx haastii (Great spotted kiwi)
Lineage: Eukaryota; Metazoa; Chordata; Aves; Apterygiformes; Apterygidae
Description: lncRNA (ENSAHAG00000002806.1)
Source: RNAcentral